This is a non-coding RNA of Rattus norvegicus (Norway rat), 15205 nucleotides long. The record is from RefSeq and is a predicted model, not a curated record. NCBI's taxonomy places the organism in Eukaryota, Metazoa, Chordata, Mammalia, Rodentia, Muridae.
GCCACUGAGCCUGACUGUAGAGCAGAGGCUAGCCAGUGAGCCAGGCUGAAGGCUGAAGAGCAGUGAUUUUAACCUUUAUUUCUAAGUUCUUCAGUUUUCCUAAAAGACAAAGUUUGCCUUCAUAAAGUAUGGCUUAAAAAGUUCUCCUUGCUCUCUUCUUCUUAUCUCCUUUCCUCUUGCUCUUAUGACACAAUAAUUUCCUUACUCUCAAUGCCUUACUCUCAACGCUAUGCCUUUACUUCUAAGUUCUUCUUGAGUUCUGUUCUCUUCAGUUCAGUUCUGUCUAAAAAGCUUCUCUCUCUUUGUCCUCCGCAUUUGUAUAUCUUUCUGAACACAGCAUCACAUGGUGAAAAGUUCACCACAAGUUUGCACAGGAAUUCAAAUCAUAAGUUGGGUAAUCAGUUUAUGACAGGGAAUGUUUACAUGCACAUCCAUGAAGAGUAAUCAUCAGGAUAAACCAUCACCAUCUGUCACUAGCUCUGCACGUUCAUGGAGAGUUAAAAGCUGUAAUUUUUAUGAGAAAAGAAUAAGUGAAAUUACAUAUAGGCAAAUCCAGUCAAUUAUGUUAAGUCCUUGUACCUAUAGUAAAUCAUUAGUUCUCUUUUUAUGAACUUUGGUUAAUUGGUUUAUACCCUCUUAGGAUGGGCUAUAAUUUGUAGAUGCCUGCUUGGUAUUGCAGAAGCGAUUCACUCAUGACACUUUAAGAAUGGCAGGGUUCUCAAUGCAAUUUUGAUUACCAGAGAAACAUAAUAGCAGUCCUAUUUUAAAAACUUAAAAUUACUAAUCUAAUUUUAGGAAUUCUUAUAGAACCAUCAUUAAGAAUUAAGAAAUCAUCUAUUUGUCUGUACAUCAUCACGCCAAGACAAUACAUCUUCAUUGCUCUGUGGUGAUCUGCUCAAAAGAGUGGGGUAAAGAGCAUGACAAAUACAGAGGCAGAUGCUUGCAGCCAACCAUUUGGCUGAGAGCAGGGUCCCCAAUGGAGGAGUAAGAGAAAGGAUUGAGAGAGCUGAAGGGGUGUACAGCCCCAUAAGAACAACAAUAAGAAACACCCAGAGCUCCCAGGACUGAAACCACCAUCCAAUAUGUACACAUGGACAGACAGACCCAUGGCUACAGCUGCAUAUGUAGAAGAGGAUGGCCUUCUUGGGCACAAAUGGGAGGAGAAGCCCUUGGUCUUGUCAAGGCUUGAUGCCCCAGUGUAGGGGAAAUCAGAACAGGGAGGCAGGUAGGCCUGGGUGGUUGGGUGGGUGGUAACACCCUCAUAGUAGAAGGGGGAGGAGGUAUUAUAAGGGGUUUUGUGGAUGGGAAACCAGGAAAAGGGAUAACAUUGGAAAUGUAACAAAAGCCCUCUCUGGGGAUGGACAGCGGCUAAGGUGCUCUGAGCCCCUACUUCCCUGCUGCCUCCCUUUGAUCACGACUGUGGUGCAUGGUGUCAGCCUGGGACUCUCCAUGGGCUGCUCCUGGCACUGGACUUGGCGUUCAUGCCAAAAUAUGAUGAGCAAGGAGCACAUGGUUUGUCCGGAUUCAGAGCUGGGCCAGUGGCCACCAGAUGACAAGCACAGCAUCCUGUACGAUCAUGAGGUCUUUCUGGGCAAGGAGGACUCCAAGACCUUUGAUAGCUAAGCCUGUACGAGAGCAGGAGAGGCUGGGGAAAAUUAUUGACCCCAUUGACAGUGAUGGACGUGGCCUUGUUACUACUGAAGACCUGAAAGUUUGGAUCAAACAGGUACAAAAAAGAUACAUCUACCAUAAUGUGGCUAAACCCUGGAAGGAUUAUGAUAGGGACAUAGUUGUAAAAUCUCCUGGGAAAAAUACAAGCAGGCCACCUAUGGCUACUACCUGGGACACCUUGUUGAUUUCCAAGACGGCUGUGAUGAUCACAACUCUAAAAAGAUGCCUCCACGAGAUGAGAGGAGGUUUAAGGCCUUGACGGUGACCUGACAGCUACUCAGGACUGGUUCAUUGCUUUUCUGCACUAAGAGGAUUUAGAACAUAUGAAGGAGAUUGUAGUUCUGGAAACCCUGGAGGAUAUCGACAAGAACGGGGAUGGUUUUGUGGACUAGGAUGAGUACAUUGUGGACAUCUUUUUCUCAUUAGGACAAUUGCCCUGAGACCGACUGGGUUUUGUCUGGGGAGCAGUUCAAUGAUUUCCCAGAUCUGAACAAGGAUGGGAAGCUGGAGUAGGAUGAGAUUCACCAUUGGAUCCUCCCUCAGGACUAUGACCAUGCACAGGCUGAGGCCCAGCAUCUGGUGUAUGAGUCAGAUAAAAACAAGCAUGAGAUGCUGUCCAUGGAGUAGAUUCUAGACAACUGGACCAUGUUUGUGGGAAGCCAAGCCACCAAUUACUGGGAAGAUCUUACCAAAAAUCAUGAUGAAUUUUGAAAGAAACUCAUCCUCAUGUGGCCAACAGUCACAUGCUUUCUACGGAUGUUCUGUGCGAUUGCUAUAUUUGUCAAGUAUAUAGCAGUUGUGUCCCUAAACAAUGAGAAACCUUUCUAAAAAAAUCAUAAAUUGCACCAAACAAUAAUAGUAGGAGAUUUAAACACCCUACUUUCAUCAAUGGACAGCUCAGGGAAACAGAAAUUAAACAGAGACACAGAAAGACUAACAGGUUAUGAAACAAAUGGAUUUAACAUAUAUUUAUAGAACACUCCACCCUAAAACCAAAGGAUAUACCUUCUUCUCAGCAUCCCAUGGUACCUUCUCCAAAAUUGACCAUAUAAUCGGUCACAAAAGAAGCCUCAACAGGUACAGGAAGAUAGAAAUAAUCCCAUGCAUCCUUUCAAAAAACCACGGACUAAGGCUGCUGAUCAGUAACAACAAAUAGGACAGAAAGCCCACAUAUACGUGGAAGUUGAAGUCAAUGACAACUUGGUCAUUGGAGACAUAAGAAAGAAAUUAAAGAUUUCUUAGAAUUUAAUGAAAAUGAAGAUACAACAUACCCAAACUUAUGGGACACAAUAAAAGCAGCGCCAAGAGGAAAACUCAUAGCUCUGUAUGCCUGCAAAAAGAAACAAGAGAGAGCAUAUCUCAGCAGCUUGACAGCACACCUCAAAGCUCUAGAAAACAAUUAAAUAAACCCUAGAGGAGUGGAAGGCAGGAAAUAAUCAAACUCAGGGCUGAAAUCAAACAAGAAGAAACAAAACCGAGUAUCAAAAGAAUCAGCAAACCCAGGAACUGGUUCUUUGAGAAAAUCAACAAGAUAAAUAAACACUUAGCCAUACUAACCAGAGGUCACAGAGAAUAUAUCCAAAUUAAUAAAAUCAGAAAUAAAAGGGAGACAUAACAACAAAUUCUGAAGAAAUUAUGAAGAUCAUCAGAUCCUACUAUAAAAACAUAUAUUCAACAAAACUGGAAAAUGUGGAGGAAAUGGACAAUUUUCUAUACAGAUACCAGGUACCACAGUUAAAUCAGGAACAAAUAAACCAUCUAAACAACCCCAUAACUCCUAAAGAAAUAGAAACUGUUAUUAAACAUCUCCCAUCCAAAAGGAGCCCAGAACCAGAUGGAUUUAGUGCAGAAUUCUAUCAGACCUUCAUAGAAGACUUCAUACUAAUACUGCCCAAAUUAUUCCGCAAAAUAGAAACAGACAGAGCACUACCAAAUUCCUUCUAUAAAGCCACAAUUACUCUUAUACCUAAACAACACAAAGAUACAACAAAGAUAGAGUAAUUCAGACCAAUUUGAUUUAUGAAUAUUGAUGAAAAAAAUGCUCAAUAAAAUUCUUGCAAACUGAGUCCAAGAACACAUCCAAACAAUCAUCCAUCAUGAUCAAGUAGGCCUCAUGGCAAGGAUGCAGGGAUGGUUUAAUAUACAGAAAUCCAUCAACAAAAUUCACCAUAUAAACAAACUCAAAGGAAAAAAACCCACAUGAUCAUUUCAUUAGAUGCUGAGAAAUCAUUUGACAAAAUUCAGUAACCUUUCAUUAAUAAAGUCCUGGAAAGAUCAGGAAUCAAGGCCCAUAUCUAAAUAUAGGAAAAGGCAAAAUACAUCCAACCAGUAGCUAAUAUCAAACUAAACUGAGAAAAUUGAAGGAAUCCCACUAAAAUCAGGGACUAGACAAGGCUGCCCACUCUUUCCUUACUUUUUCAAUAUGGUACUUAAAGUCCUAGCCAUAGCAAUCAAACAAUGAAAGUAGGUCAAAGGGAUAAAAAUUAGAAGGGAUGAAGUCAAAAUACUAAAAUUUGAAGAUGAUAUGAUAGUCUACUUAAGCAACACCAAAAUUCCACCAGAGAACUACUUAACCUGAUCAACAAUUUCAGCAAACUGUCCGGGUAUAAAAUUAACUCAAACAAUUCAGUAGUCUUCCUCUACUCAAAGGGUAAACAGGCUGAGAAAGAAAUUAGGGAAAUGACACCCUUCACAAUAGUCCCAAAUAAUAUAAAAUAACUUGCUGUUACUUGAACCAAGCAAGUAAAAAAAUCUGUAUGACAAGAACUUCAAAUCUCUGAAGAAAUUGAAGAAGAUCUCAGAAGAUGGAAAGAUCUCCCAUGCUCAUAGAUUGGCAGGAUGAAUAUGGUAAAAAAUGGCCAUUUUGCCAAAAGCAAUCUACAGAUUCAAUGCCAUCACCAUCAAUAUUCCUACUCAAUUCUUUAUAAAGGUAGAAAGUGCAAUUUGCCGUCAUUUGAUAUAACAUAAAACCCAGGAUAGCAAAACUAUACUCAACAAUAAAAGAACUUCUGGGGGAAUCACCAUCUCUGACCUCAAGCAGUAUUACAGAGCAAAAGUUUGUAUGGUAUUGGCAUACAGACAGGCAGCUCAGUGGAACAUAAUUGAAGACACAGAAAUGAACACACACCCCUAUGGUCAUUUGAUCUUUGACAAAGGAGGUAAAACAUCCAAUUGAAGAAACAUAGCAUUUUUAACAAAUGGUGCUGGAUCAAGUGGAGGUAAGCAUGUAGGAGAAUGCAAGUUGACCCAUUCUUCUUGCCCUGGACAAAGAUUAAGUCCAAGUGGAUCAAGGACCUCCACAUCAAACCAGAUACACUGAAUGUAAUAGAUAAAAAGUAGGGAAGAGUCUCGAAGACAUGAGCACUAAGGAGAUAUGGAGGCCAAAUCUAAAGCAGAGACUGAAGGAAAAGCCAUUCAGAGUCUGCCCCACAUGUGGCCCAUAUAUAUACAGCCACCAAAACUAGGUAAGAUUGAUGAAGCUAAAAAGUGCUUACUGAAAGGGACUGGAUAUGCAUCUCCCCUGAGAGACACAUCCAGGGCAUGUCAAAUAAAGAGGUCAUUGCUAGCAGUAAACUACUGAACUGAGAACAGGACGCCCUUUAUGGGAAUUAGAAGAAGGAUUCAAAGAGUUGAAGGGCUUGCAACCCCAUAAGAACAGCAAUGCCAACCAAAUAAACCACUAGCAAAAGACUAUACGUGGACUGACCCAGGGGUCCAACUGCAUAUGUAGAAGAGAAUAGCCUUGUUGGGGCACCUGUGGAAGUGGAAGCCCUUGUUCUUAACAAGGUUGGACCCUCAGUGCAGGGGAAUGUCCGGGAAGGGGUUUCAAGGGGCGUGGAUUGGGGGACCGUACAUAUGGGGAAGUGUCCAGGGAGGGUGGCUUAUGGACCAAAAACUGGGAAAGGGAAUAAGGUUUGAAAUGUAAAUAAAAAGUAUAUAUCUAUUAAACCAAAAUUUUAAUAAAUGAUAAUAAUAGUAAGAAAUAAUCAAGAAAAAAAAGAAAAUGUGAAUAAGAAAGAAAUUUUAGGACUUGGAAAAAGAUGAAUGCCAGGUAUUUGAAAAACUGUAUGACCAUGGUAAACACUUUAAUAUAUGUGAGAAAUUUUUUACAUGUUACUGAAUUACAUCUUUUUUUUAAAUAGUGAAUGGAAAUACAGUCCCUUCCUGGGUGUGAGGCUGGGUAUCCAGAUGUAGUGGAAUUCAUUAUUUGUUGGUCCUGAACCUUUGAGUCUGCUUCUAACUCAGCUUAUGCCAAGGAAACUAGGCCAAGGUGAUGUCUAAGCCAUUGACCAAACUAUCUGGACUAACAAUCACAGGUGAAAUUCCACCUUGUAAAUGGGAGGAGAGGAAUAAAAGAUACCUUUAAGGAUUUAAAAAAGAUGAAAUAUACCCAAAAAAAUCCAAUAAAAAAGUUUAAAAUAAAAAUAACGUAGGAAAUACAAAAUACUGGGGUGCCAUUCCAGAAUCAUGAUGUGUUUCUUCUUUGAUAGCUUACAGGUUAAUUUACUUCUCUAUGACUGUUUUCUUAUUUGAAAGUAAGUAAUGGCAUCAUCUGUGGAGUGAUGGUGAGAACAAAAGCUUUGCCGAACUUGAAUAAUCGAUCCCUCCUGAGCAUGUGCUUAACAUUCUAAGCACAGGGAAAUUUCCUGAGGGGAUUAAAGAACAAAAUCUAAACAUAAAACAGGAACAACAACGAUGUAAAAACAUUCUGCAUGCUCGGUAUGAAGACAUGUUACAACUUUAAUCAGCUUUGUAGGUAUUUCUAAUAAACAUCCAAAGAAACAAAAAUCCCAUCACAGUCCUUGCAGUUGCAUCCAACAAAGAGAGAGCUGUGAGGUAGUGUGUGCUGCUUCUUUCCCCAGAUACCCCUGGGCCUCAGGCCUGCAUCCAGUGACCUGGACCUAAGAGCAGCCAGGUUGAAAUUCCUGCUGCCAUGGCAGGAUUCUGCAGGAACAUUUCCCUUUGACAAUAAGGAACCUGUGUGGAGGAGACCUCUUGGUGAGUCCUCAUGGACUCUACAUGUCCUAUUCUACAGGGAGAAGCCCUGCCAGGUCUUUGGCAAGGCCAGCCAGUUGUUUGGGUAAGUCUCUGGUCCUGUGGCAGAGGGCUAGGAAUGGCAGAAAGAAUGGCAGCUCCACUGAGAGCAAAGGUUAACCCUUCUAGGCCUAUGACCUCCUAAUUAAUUUAUCUUUUCACCUGAUGCCCUAUUCACAUUUUCUUACUAUCAUACAACUGUGAUCUUGAUGAGCAGCUGGGCUCUUAUUUUCUUAAUCAGUUCUUUGUUGUCACAGACGUUUUUAACUUACUCCAACCCAUGAGACUUAUUCACACCUUCUGUAUGCAGUAGGACCCUUGGUGGGCUGUCAUCUCAAAAAUAGAAGGUUCAGUAAUCCAAAAGAUUGGACUCCAAUUUACCUCAGGCCAGGUAAGAAGUCAGCCACCAUUAGUAAAAGAGAAAGGGAAAAAUUACAUAGGAAAAACAAGUGGCUUAAUUAGAAGAGAUCCUCAACUUCUAAGGGGUGCACAUCUGCACCCCUCUCUUCUGAGCUUUGUAAAGUGAUGUUGUAUAACUCUAGAUGGUAGUAAAAGGCAGAGCUCUUCACAGGAAGGUCAAACAUGAUUUUCACUCUUACAUCUGUGAGGUGGGGUGGCAUUAUAGCACACAUUCAGGUAGAAUUAUAACACCAAGGAUAAGAAGACAGAAUCCAUAUAUCACAAUGCCAAAUAGACUCCCUCCUCAACUUAUGGACCCAUUAAAAUUGAGGUUCAACCUGAACUGAGGCCAUUCCACUCCCUUCCCAUCCUCCUGAUUCUUAUGUUUAGUAGGAGUAAAGGAUCAUGGUGCAGCCCCCAAUAUUCUCAUGACUAGACUUGCCUAUUCAGGACGAAUGAUAUUGGAGAAGUGAUGGCUAUAUAGUUACAAUGUAGUAACACAAGCUCCAAGUUGACAUUUGCUCACUGACGUCCAAUUUAAUUGUCUUGUUAUAUUUGAGAAAGGGAGGAUGCCCUACUUAAUAUAUAAAAGGGAAAGAAAUUUAUUAUUUUAUAUAUGCCCUGUAGUUGGUCUCUAUGUUCCCAAGAAAAAGGAGUUUUUAUUGCAAAAAAAAUAGGAUUAUACACCAUUGAUUUUGUGAAAUACAUGGAUAUGUAAUUGGAAACAAUGUCAGCUGUCAAGGACUGCACACUAAUCAACUAUUUCUCGGUUUUAUACACUCAGAGAUAUAGAAGAAACAUAUUGGCCUCCACAAAAAGGGAAAAGCUUAAGAAUCGAAAUGUAUGUCACAUGCAUUGUCUCGGGUAGUAGAUUUACUUUUAAGAAAAAACUGCCCCCUCCUUGGCCCCUAGAGAUUUGGGUGCUAAGAAAAAUCUGUUCUCCAAUUCAGGGUUGUAAGCAACUCUCCCCAGCAAAAGCAUUGUUGACUUCUAAUGAAGCAGAGAGACAUAUCUAGCUUUGAAACAGAGGUUGCCAAAUGGUAUUCCCAGUGAUACAUGGGAGACUGGAGGAAAGGGUCCCCACAGAAAUUCAUCACUUUGUGGAGAGCUGGUUAGUAGGUAGGCCAUAGAACUUUCCAAUGACAUCAUCAGUAAGCCCUUCACUGGACACUCUAUUGUAUCUAAGAGAUCCCUAGAAUCUUCAGUGAUGUCACCAGUGUUGUGGUGAAACCAACUGCCUUUGGGAUAUUACUUCAGUUCCCUUUGGGUUCACAAGCAGGCAUGUUUCGCCAGCUGCUCAGGCUAUUUCGGAAGGAAAGGGGAGAUCAAGGAGAGACCACACCAGGUCAGAGGGAAGCUGACCCCCUCUCUAGUGAAACAGGAAGGAGGAAAUCAUUCUGUGGAAGGCUUGGUUUUGGUAGGAAGGCAUCAUCCGAAAGUGUCAUCAGCAAGCAAGAGGAGCUUCUAAAGGAACUGGAGGAACUCAAAUUUGAAAUCCAGAAGUGUCAAUUCGAGAGGGAUGAACUUUACCAAAUCCUGGACCUUUAUAUCUAUGAUGAUUGGGACCACAGGUAGUCAUUAUGCCCAGUAACCUGUUCACAGUCUUGUGCUCUCUUUCUGCUAACCCGAUAUUUCCUCAUAGCACGAGAGAGUUUCACCUCUCAUCCUGGAUUUGAAGGAGCCUUGGCAGGCAUUACCUUUGAGAUAAGCUAGGUGCUGUGUGUGUUUAGGGUUAACCUUUUUGUACUUGACCCUGAGCUCCUUGGAUUAGCAUUGGUUCUGUCAGCAGCUGGAAGGACCUGGUCACACUUGCUGCAACUGUGUGUGUGAAUGAAAUGCCUGCACGGCAUCACUCUUUUCCUCUGAAUUUAUUCUCUAUACACUGAUUCUAUGGCACCUCCAUGCAUGUAGUUGGCAUUCUAAAUGUGUUUGGAUAUGGGUUGGUAUGUAUGUAUGUGGAAGUACAUGUGGUGUUUUACUCAGGGUCAGGACGUCUGGGACCUUUGAUGGGGUCUGAGGAUUUGGUUGAUCAACAGUUUGCAGGUCAUGAUAGUGAUGAGUAUAUGGAGGCCCACACUGAUCAACAGAGCACUUUGCUCCUUCUGUAUACCUUGGUGGCACACAGGACUCUCCCGAGGGGAGGAGGUGCUAUAAAUCCUCUUCCCUGUCAAACUUAGUUAUGCCCUCUGAGAAUUCAUGUAACGACAGAAACCAAGGAUUGAGUAUACCUGCUUUCAAAACAAGAGAAAUGUCAUCACAGCUUUCUCUUGGGCCCAAAGCUGUAGCACAGACUGGAGGAAUCUUCUUCCUGAACUAGUCAAUUCCAUCAUGCUCACCUGGCCAGCUCUUGAAGGUCAGGUCCCUCCAAUUGGUACCGUGGCUCUGUUGUCCUGUGCCCAGGAUAAUAAGUUUAAUCAGUACAACUACUUCAAAGGAGCAAGAAUGUGCUAUAUACUGGGUUUAGGUAAUUGAGAGAACAGUCUGAUUUCACCUAAUUUUUUUUACCUGCUUUGAUCGUUAGUUUUUUAUUUUUUUAACUAUCCAGUGAUGUUUUAUUGUGACCUAGAAAGGGUCACUGUGGGAAUAAAUUCUUGACAGUUCUUAUUCCAAACAGGCAGGUCUCAGGCUCUGCCCACUCCUAUAUAAUAAGUCUUUGCAGAACCAUAUCUCCCCAGGCUUUUAAGGAGUCCUUAUUUCAAAACAAAAUUUGCUUAUUUACAUGGAAAUAUUUUCUGUGGAUUGAGUCUCACUGUUGUGUUUUGGUCUGGUUUUUGAAUUUGCCAAUUUCUUCCCUUCUACCAUUCCUUGAAUUUGAACUUUUUUAUUAUAUAUUUUUUAUUUACAUUUCUCCUAAUUCUGAAAUCGUGAGUUCAAAACAUUAUUUGUUCCUUUGGCCAUGACCUAACCCAGGCUGGAUGUCGAAUUGCCAGUCCUUCAAUCCGAACAUGAGAUGAGAAUAAUGGCUAUGCAAAUGAUGACCAACUCAAUAAGUGAUGCCAUAGAGAGGUACAAGGAGCUCAUACAAGUGAACAGUUCCUACCGCGUGAGGCACUCCCAGCUCCUGCGUGAACAAGCUCAAUUAAAGAACAAUAUACAGAUUUUGCUGAAUGAGAAGAGAAAACUGCUGGUGGAGCAGACUGAACUGCCAGCAUCCUCUGUGGAGGCAAAGAGGCUCUGUGAAGAGGCCAGAAUGAACAUCUGUGACCCCAGUGCCAAGCAACAGCAGGUAGGGUUAGGACUCAGGGUCAGGCUGUCCUCAUGUCUUACCAUAAACAUAGACAACCAAUGUAGCUGUCUAUUGAGGGAUCUAUGUCCUGACCUAGGUCUCAUCCAAGUGUUCAUUUAUGUGAUGGUUUACUAGGCUUUCUGUGGAGAUAGCCCCUCUUCAAGAAACUGCGUGUUUGGAAAGCAAAUGCUCCUGCUCUUCGAGAAUCUGCAGUUUAUUAAGUGAGAUGGGUUGAUCACACAUCACAGCACUACAUGCCAUAUGUGUAGAGGGUGCUAUGUGGGAGCCCGUCUUUAGACUAGAGCAGGGCUUUGAAGGAUGAAGCAAAAGCCCAGAGCCCAUUUUCUUUGCAGGGGUCCUGUGAGAUUCCAGGAACUAAAUAGUUUAGAAGGAGGAGAGCCUGGUGGAAAUGCCAAAGAAAUGGUUCUCACUGUCAUCUUUUGGUGGAUUUGUUCUUUCUCCACCAUUUUCCCUGUAUAUCAAGACCAUCUCUUCAUGCUUCCUAAAUCAUGGUACCUGACAGAGAAAGAGUAGCAGCAUGUCAGUCCUGUUUUGUUCGAGUGUUGCUGGAGAGUUCAUAUCUUGACAUUAUACUCUGUAGAUGCUUGGAAAAGCAGGGAUGUGGAAAGGUGUUCUCAAAACCUGACAAUUGGCAUGAGAGAUUUGAGACUUCAAGAACAGAGUUAUCUACCCCCAUUCUCAUCAAGAAGAGUGCUAUCUAGGCCUUUUUGUUCCUCUCAGGAGAAAUGGCUGAGUAGUGAUUCUCUCUUAAAAUACCUGCUUUGAAUAGUCUAUAUUAUGUUGUUCCUCCAAUAUGAUGGGAUCUACAUUGUUUUCUGCCGACUUGCGAUUUUUGGUGUGUGUGUGUGUGUGUGUGUGUGUGUGUGUCUGUUUGUGCUUGUUUGUGUGUGUGUCUGUAUGGGUGUGUGAUAGAGUAUGUGUGUGUGAGUGGGUGUAUGUUGUGAGUGUGUGUAUGUGUGUAUGUGUGUGUGAGUGUGUGUGAGUGUGUCUGUGAGUGUGUAUUAGGGUGUUUAUAUGUGACUCUGUGUGUGUGUGUGUGAGUGUGUGUAUGUGUGUGUGUGUGUGUGUGUGUGUCUGUUUGUGUGUACCAGCUGUGGCUCAGCAUGUUUAUGCUCAUGUUGUGGGUUUAAUUCUGUAUGAUUUUCCAAGUGUUUCUAGUAUGGGUUCUUUUGUGUGUGUGUGUGUGUGUGUGUGUGUGUGUGUGUGUGUGUGUGUGUGUGUAUGUAUGUGUGUGUGUGUGUUUCCCUGUGCAUAAUUGCACAGCUGAGUCUCUAUUGCCCUGUUUCAUGAGAAAAAGAAUCUAAGAGUUCAAUUUGCCUCCAUGAAUAUCAAAUAUAGCACCCCAAUCACUUGGAAUCUCCACCUACCUCUGUACAGCAAAAGAACCCAAAACACGUGUAAAGUUAGAUUUUCAAGUGAUUAGGGAAAAAUGACUGGUCUGCAUCGAAAUCCUUUGGAGCACAUCAAAGGAAUGGAGUACAUGGAGGUAAGGGGGGCUGCUUUUUAAAAUCCAUUGAUUUAUGAUCCUUCUCUGUUCUUUGUGAAUGGUGAAAGCCCACUGGAAGGUUGUGUCACUCACUGUGUCUUCUCCAAGGUUGCUUUCCACAUUGCCUGCUACCAUUUCUUUCCAGCUACCUUGGCACACUACAGUUUCUGCUGGGAGUUUGGCUUGGAUUUUAUUCAUUGAGAAUUUGAGUUGCUUGGAGUUGUAUUGUCAUCCAGCAAAAGCCUCAUAGCUAUGCUGUGGUGCAAGAACAGGGCAGUUUCAGGAGCCCCUUUAGGUGCACAGAUAAUCUAAAGCGCUCCCCUAUGUUAUCUGUGUAGCAUUCUGCAAGUGCUGUCAAUCAACAUCAUUUUCUCUCAGUUAAUUUCAGCCUCAAUGGAGUUAGGAGAAAUGAUGAAAUUCAGACGGGUCUGUUAGUGGACGAUCAGAAAGGCCUGUGAGAAGCCAUGUUCUUUAAGUGGAACAGAAGUCUUAGUUGACCCGGAGAUCCCAGAGAAAAGAAUAGGUGUGCAACUAGAGCACAUCUGGGUUGUAGUGGUCCAAGGAGGGAAACUGUAUGAGAGGUUGGAGCCUUUCAAUGGAUUAUGACUCAGUGUGAGAUAAUCCAUGUAAGCAUUUAUUUAUUUACUCCAAAUAUCUGUGACACAAUCACAUAAUAGGUAGAAACAUUGUUCAUUUGGAUCCUGGUUAUGGAGAUUUCCUAUGAUUCUGGGGGCAUAGCUUUGGGCAUGAAGUCACUCAGGCUAUGGUAAAGAGAGCUCCUAUUAGAAGAAGCUGCACUCUAUGGGGAAAGUCUGAAACAGUGAACAAGAACAGGAGUCUAGUCCACCACCAACAUAUGAUCAUGUGCUGGGAAACAAGACUGCUCUACACAGCCUUGGGAACUUGCUAAGCCAGAUUGGUAAUAGGGAAAGAACACUGAUUCUAUGUCGGCUUAUGGGAGGACAGCACAUCACUGACUGAGCUGUCUAUAGGCUAUGACCACUAUGUUCAUAACCCACUCAACAUUUGUUUUCAGGCCUGCAGAAUAUCCUGGGGAAUCAUUAUAUUAAACAUUAAAAGGGAAAGUAAACACUGCAAUGUACUAUGUUUAUAUUGUGUAAACACAAAUGGCUUGUGUGUUUGCGAGUUAGUAUUAGUGUGUCUAUGUGUCUGUGUGUAUGUUUGUGUGUGCACACAUGCAUGCAUGCUUCCAUUGACAGUACACUCAUCUGAUGACCAGGAUAAGGAAGGAUUAGAGGAAAGAAUGCAGGACAUUCUGAAGCAGAAAGAACCGAUCAACCAGGAAAGUGGCUUGGGAGGAACAUUGUAGAAGCAUUCUGAUAUUUUUGAGAUCAGGCAGGAACACAGACUGGCAGAAGCCAAUUGGAUUUCCUGUCCCUAUAUAACUAUCCUUUUUGGAUGGCUGAUCAUUGACAAGGUUUUUACCUUCAGUCACCUAAAGAACUACCCAGAGUAUUGUUCUGGUACAGUUUAUGUGAAUUUUGUCCAUGACAGGAUAUGUAUAAUCCUCAGGAUUUCUUUGUAUUUUGUACUUCAUUCUUCCUGUUAACUCUCUGAUAAGAUCUGAGAACAUUUUCUCUUCUGUCGUCUCACAAAUUGCAUUACAAUAAGCAUAGUCUUACAGGGGUGCUGUUAUGUAUCUCCAUCACCAUAAACUUUACUGUUCCUUGUGUAUGCUGUGAGCACAUUCUCAGUGAUUACAGGAUCUGUGCAGUGAGCAUGAAUUUGAAAUGAGAUGGCUUCUCUGUGUAUUUGCAGAUUCAGUGGUUACAAAUUGAACCUAGGCAGGUUCCUACAGUGCUAACAUAAUCAGAACUUUCACCACAUUUCCGGACAUGUUCUCCAGAAGGAAUCCACAUGGUAUUCUAGGUUGCUCAUACCAUUCUUGAACUCAGAUUCAGACCCAGCUACAAUGUUAUUAUUCAAUAUAAUAAACCUGGACCAGUGACAAAAUAUGCUCAUUUUUCUCUUAAUCCCAGUACAGUGCAUAUUCCACAGUUCAAAUUCUAGCAGUUUGAAAAGCUGAGAUAUAAAUCCAAGCCCAGGUACUCUAUGACACUUGGGGAUGCAGGGACUGACCUCAGCUGACAGGUCAUGCUGGAUUGUCCAACUGAACAGAGCUGAUGUAAGAGGGAGAGCUGAAUUGACAACCACUCACUAAACCUUUAUUCCCUUGCUCUGCUAGGUCUGAAAUUCUCCAGCAGAAACUCGAACAUGACACAGACCAGGACAAGAUCUCCCUUGGAGAGAAGAGCUACAGGAGGAGAACUAAGUGUGCACAGCAAAUACACCACUAUUGUAUCUCAUCUGUAAUGUCCAUAGCAAUUGUGGACUGCAUUUUCCUCCUUUAGUUUACAUUCUUUGGAUUGAAUAGGCCUUACUUUCACCUCAGCUCUCUCCAGCAAGUGUACACUUUUGGAGGAACUCAGAGAAGUGUUGAUGCACAUCAGUCAAGAGCUGCUGGUCAUCCAGAAAGACUCUGCACGUUUAAAUUUGUACCUGUCCUGAUGGGUCAUCCAGAAGAGUUUCAUGGAGAUCAGGUCACAACAUUGGACAGACUAUGAAACAAAGUCUGUAAUAUCAUUUAUACUCAGUAUUGGUAAGCUUUUUCCUUAAUACCCCCACUGCAAGCAAACAGACCUACUUCCACUUCUCUUGAAAAUAUUAUUACCAUCAGUAACUGCUUGUCUACUAUGUCUCCAAGGCAAGCCACAGGCUAUAAGUCUAUUCUGCAAAAGGAGCAGCAAAAGAAUGCUUAGCGCAAUUCCUCUAUUUAAAGUUUGCUUGAGUUUUGAUUAUUUUGGUUAUUUGGUUUUCCUUCUAUUCAUUAGAAGAUUUGUUAAUUAUGUGUUGUUGUUGUUUUGUUCAUUUGCUUUUCUAUUUUGAUAAGGAUAUAGACUGUAUAUAUUGACUACCUGCAUCUGGUUACUAUCAAGUAAAUUGGAUGUAUUCUGGUAAAUAAAGGAGUUAUCUCAAACUCUUCACUCUUAAGAACCUUCUUUAUUGAUCACUAAUGUAAACAUCUGAAGUCCCACAGCUAUCAGGGAGGGAUCGAUCUCUGCAUUCUCAUGGGCACUGUGCAUCAGUCUUACUGAGAUUCAAAGGCAAUUAUACAGUCACUGUUCACUGUGUUUCCAACUCUGUGAAUUUCCAGUUCAUCAUGCAUAUCGUACCCACUGUGUAUGCUUGCUGUCAAAUAUAUAGUUACCUCUAAAUUAUACUCUGUGGAUGAGCAUGUUGAACAAAUUAAUGGGAUAAACAUUAAUUUUUCUGUAAUAUCUCCUAGGACAUAAAAACAUGGUAUAAGGGAUUUUAAAGCAGUCGGAAAUCCUGCACCCAAAUCCCAG